RNAcentral lists this ribosomal RNA (228 nucleotides) under uncultured bacterium. RNAcentral's name for it is "partial 16S ribosomal RNA". It matches the Rfam family "Bacterial small subunit ribosomal RNA", at positions 568 to 795 of the family's 1533-position model. The record is from RNAcentral.
CGUGUAGGCGGCCGAUCAAGUCGGGUGUGAAAGCCCUCGGCUCAACCGAGGAAUUGCACUCGAUACUGAUUGGCUAGAGUCCGGGAGGGGGUAGCGGAAUUCCCAGUGUAGCGGUGAAAUGCGUAGAUAUUGGGAAGAACACCAGUGGCGAAGGCGGCUACCUGGACCGGAACUGACGCUGAGGCGCGAAAGCUAGGGGAGCGAACAGGAUUAGAUACCCUGGUAGUC